Molecule: ribosomal RNA, 254 nt
Filed under: uncultured bacterium
Lineage: Bacteria
Description: partial 16S ribosomal RNA
Rfam family: Bacterial small subunit ribosomal RNA
Source: RNAcentral
UACGUAGGGGGCUAGCGUUGUCCGGAUUUAUUGGGCGUAAAGAGCGUGUAGGCGGCCAGGUAGGUCUGCUGUGAAAACUCGAGGCUCAACCUCGAGACGUCGGCGGAAACCAUCUGGCUAGAGUCCGGAAGAGGAGAGUGGAAUUCCUGGUGUAGCGGUGAAAUGCGCAGAUAUCAGGAAGAACACCGGUGGCGAAGGCGGCCUGCUGGGACAGUGCUGACGCUGAGGCGCGACAGCGUGGGGGAGCAAACAGG